AGUAGGAUAACUGGGUAAAAUGGUGGUUUUAUUUCCAAGGAAUCUCCAUAUUGCUUUCCAGAGUGGUUGCAUCAAUUUUCAGUCCCACCAGCAAU
RNAcentral lists this microRNA precursor (95 nucleotides) under Marmota monax (woodchuck). The record is from RNAcentral. Lineage: Eukaryota; Metazoa; Chordata; Mammalia; Rodentia; Sciuridae.